RNAcentral lists this ribosomal RNA (1329 nucleotides) under Triticum aestivum (bread wheat). RNAcentral's name for it is "partial small subunit ribosomal RNA". Lineage: Eukaryota; Viridiplantae; Streptophyta; Magnoliopsida; Poales; Poaceae. The record is from RNAcentral.
AUGGAUGGGAACACCAGAGGAGGUGGACAUUAUGAAGCAUUGAAGAGCUACAAUCUGGGCAAAACGUUAGGUGCAAGCACAUUUGGAAAAGUGAUAAUUGCAGAUCAUAAGCUUACAGGACUCAAAGUUGCUGUAAAGAUUCUGAACCGUCGUAAAAUGAAAACUAUGGAAAUGGAAGAGAAAGCAAAUAGAGAAAUCAAGAUAUUGAGGUCGUUCAUUGACUUCAUUCACCCUCAUAUCAUCCGGAUUUAUGAGGUCAUUGAGACACCGAAGGAUAUAUUUGUUGUGAUGGAAUAUUGCCAGAAUGGUGACCUUUUGGACUACAUUGUUGAGAAAAGGCGGUUACAGGAAGAUGUGGCCCGUCGAAUCUUCCAGCAGAUUAUAUCUGUUGUUGAAUACUGCCACACAAACAUGGUUGUUCAUCGUGAUCUAAAGCCAGAAAACCUGCUAGUUGAUUCCAAAUAUAAUGUGAAACUUGCUGACUUUGGGUUAAGCAAUGUGAUGCAUGAUGGCCAUUUUUUGAAGACUAGCUGCGGGAGUAUAAACUAUGCCGCACCAGAGGUUAUCUCAGGUGAAUUGUAUGCUGGACCUGAGGUUGAUGUUUGGAGCUGUGGGGGAGGUUUCUAUAUCCUUCCAAAUCAUUUAUCUGAUCUUGCAAUGGAUUUGAUCCCAAGAAUGCUUAUUGUUGAUCCCAUGAAGAGAAUCACAAUCUGUGAAAUUCGAGAUCACCCAUGGUUUCAGAAUCGCCUUCCUCGCUACCUGGCAGUGCCUCCACCAAAGAUAGCACAGCAAGCCAAAAUGGAGAUUGAUGAAGAUACACUUCAAGAUGUUGCCAAUCUGGGAUAUGAUAAAGAUCAUGUGUGUGAAUCAUUGUGCAAUAGGCUGAAAAAUGAGGAAACUGUUGCAUAUUACUUACUCUUGGACAAUCGGUUCCGGGCUACUAGUGGCUAUUUGGGGGCUGAAUAUCAACAAGAAAUGCAGUCUCGAGCUCAACCUCGCGCGAUAUUGAUUGAGGUUCUAAAGGCACUUAAGGAAUUAAAUGUCUAUUGGAAGAAGAAUGUGGACUACAACAUGAAAUGCAGUUGGUGCCCUGGGUUUCCUCAGGUCAAUGAUAUGUUGUUAGAUGCCAACCACAGCUUUGUUGAUGACUCUACCAUCAUGGAUAAUGGUGAUGUUAAUAGGAGGCUACCUGCUGUGAUCAUGUUUGAAAUUCAGCUUUACAAGACCAGGGAUGGCAAGUACUUGCUAGAUAUGCAAAGAGUUACUGGACCUCAGCUCCUCUUCCUGGAAUUUUGUGUGGCCUUCCUUACCAACCUUAGGGUUCUAUAG